GGCAAGACUACUUAAGUUUGUAUAUGAAAGGGCAUAUUCUCUGAUAUUCUCCUUCCUGACUCCAGAGGAUGUGGGACCAUCUAGGUUUGUAUAUGAAAGGAGUCAUUCUCUGGAAGUUCUUCCUGAUUCCAGAGAGUCCCUUUAAGUUUGUAUAACUUUUUGUUGGUAAUUUUACAUAACUUUACAGGGCUGUCUGGUUUCGCUCUCAUCAGUAAUUUAUCUGUUUCUGGGAGAAUAUGAGGCGGUCUCUUGAUAGAAGUGUUUUAUUAGUACUUAUAUGCCAUUUCACUAAAUGCAUCUAUUUAAAAAAACAAAAAACAAAAAAGUAAUGGCUUGGGAUAAAGUUGCUCUGUUAUCAAGGAAAGGGACCCAAGUGAUAGGUUUCAGGCUAGAAUUUCAGUCAUUAAAAUAAGUACCUAUUCUGAGCCCCCAAAUAGUAGUAUAUUAUGUGUACUUCAAAGAGCUGGAUCACUGGGAAAUAAUAGAUUUGGUUCACUGAAUUCUAUCUAACACCUUAUUAACUGUUUUCAUAUUGGUGGGCUACAGUCCCACGCUGCUCCCAUUAAGUCUGACUUCUGUAGGCUUGAAACUAGCCCAUAUUCUUUCUCUUUUGCUUCCAGAUUGCAGCCUUUACCCAACAAGUGACUAGGACUCUCUGUUCUUCAUAGAACAGUAAGAAUUUCUUUACAUAGAAAGUAAGGAAAUUAGGCUAAAUCAUUGACUGGUAGGAGAACCACCAUUUUUGCAUUUGAUUGUGUUAAUUUGCCUCCUCUGCAUCGGGAAAACCAGAGGCCAGCCUGGCUCUAACUUGUGCUUAACUUUCCGAGGUUCCAAUUUUGCCAUUUACUGAUUUACCAGUAACCCUGAGGCAGGUGUGGCUUUUGGGAAUAUUUGGGGGUAUUACAAGUUUCUAAUUCUGGAAAUAUUUGCGUUAUUCGAUGUUUCUAGUUCUAGGAGGCUGUUUCUGUGUUAGACUCUACCAUGAUAGAAAACAGAGUUCUGUGUACUUUACAUGUCACUAGUCUUUGUCAAAACAGUUGGUUAUUUGGUUACCAAGGACCAACAGCUCAGUAAAUCACAUGGUAGUGAGAGCUAUUCUCC
Molecule: long non-coding RNA, 1101 nt
Filed under: Sarcophilus harrisii (Tasmanian devil)
Lineage: Eukaryota; Metazoa; Chordata; Mammalia; Dasyuromorphia; Dasyuridae
Description: lncRNA (ENSSHAG00000026901.1)
Source: RNAcentral